Populus trichocarpa (black cottonwood) is the source of this 2144-nucleotide RNA transcript. RefSeq lists it as uncharacterized. The transcript has 2 exons. NCBI's taxonomy places the organism in Eukaryota, Viridiplantae, Streptophyta, Magnoliopsida, Malpighiales, Salicaceae. The record is from RefSeq and is a predicted model, not a curated record.
GGCAGUUUGACCUUUCUCUACCUUUUUUUUUUUUAUCAUAACUGGAGAUACAAGUCAAAUUUUGAUGUGAUUGGGUUGAUUUAUAGUCUUGUUGUCUUGGAGCAUAUCUUCUAUUAUGAUAAAUUCAUCCUAAUUUUAACAAACUUGGGUUAAAUAGAACUUGAGUUCUUGAAUUCCAUUCAAUUCCGCUAGGGUUUGCAUCAGGUGGUGUCUUCGCUCGUGCUUCCAUACCAUGGUCCUCUUAGCCUUAAUCUGGUUCGAUCCUGCCCAACUUCUGCUAAGGCAGGUCUGGGUUUGCUGGGCGCCGCUUCCGACUCUGUUGCCCAAGAACAACUAUUGGUUGAGGUCUGCUCUAAUGAUGACUCUAGUGAGAAUGAACGGCUUGAUUUCUCUGGAUCGGAUUAUAGCCUUGACUCCGGUCAUAGCACUCCCCCAGCUUCUAGUAGUGGAAGGCGAUCCCCUGACUCCAACCCAUGUGGGGCUCUGCUUUCUUCAGCUACUCCUUCGAUUGUCACUCCCAUUCACACUGAAGCUGGCUCCACCCCCGUUACUGGAACAAAUGUUUGCAAGGACAGUGGAGCUCCUCCAGUUUCCUCUCCUGGUAUCCCCCCAGGCUCUCAUUUGCUAAAGUGUUGAUUGAGGUAGAUUUGCUAGCUGACCUGCCCAACUCCAUCACCGUUAUCUUGCCCAAUGGAGUCCCUCUCUCGCAGUUUGUUGUUUAUGGGACCCUCCCGAAGUUAUGCCCGCAAUGUCGGCUUAUCGGGCAUACUAUCUCAGCAUGCCCUCAAACUGCUGCUGCUAGGGGGGAGUCUCUCAGACAACUGACUCCCUAGUGAAGAUCAAUAGAAAUCAUGUUCAUCCCUCCAGAUUUGGUUCUCCUGUGGAGAUAUCUGCUGUGGAUGGCCAGUAGGGCAGUAGGGAAAUGGCACAGGGUGAGCAACCUCCAAGUCCCCAAGGUGCUACUGUGGAGGCUGCGGCUAAGGGUAUGGUAGCAAUUGGAGGCAGGAAGAAGGCCAGACUCACCUUAGCUGUUAUGGUCAAAGCUCAAGAUACUGCUCCUCUUGUCCCCUCUACCAUUGUGCAUGUGCUUGAUGAUCCUCUACUACCGGAGGAUAUCACUCCAACAGUGGGGAAAAAACCUGUUACAAUUAGAAGGCAAUACAUGACGCGAAGCAGGAGCCUGCUAGUGCAGGACACCCCUCUGGCUUUGCCUAGUACUUAGAAAGGUAAAGCCCUAAUUACAGAUACUACUGCUGUCUCCCUUAGGAGACCAGGUCGAUCUCGACUGGGUGUGGCCAAUACAAGUACUUCUGAAAGGGAUAGAGCUCCUGGGCUAUCCUCUACUUGAUUUUCCUAUUGGUCUUUCAGAGGACCUCUCUAGUCUUGGAUGGUUCAUGAGGCUGUUGGCCUCAUGGUGAUCUGUUGAUGUUGAGAAUUGGUAGCUUCUGCCUCCUAUAGGUUUUCUGGUAUGCUAGAGUAGAUGUGUGGUUCCCUCUCUGGCUUGUGUUGCUACUUUUUGUAGCUUCGUCUGCUAUGCUCUUUGAAUCUGGAUACUGGAACUUCUAUUGGCUUUUGCUAGUCAGUUAUGUGCUGUUUUGCUACUGUCUGUUGCUGCUUUUACAGGUUCGUUUGCUGCCCUUUCUUCAGCUGCUGCUGGGUUUGCCACUCCCUGGUGUUGGGGUGGCUAUUGUUGCUGCUAUAUGCGGCCUGAUGUGUUGUGCUAUUUGAAGCUAGCUGAAAUUAUAUAAUGUUGUUAUUGUUUGUGGGUUGGUUCUUGCUGCUGGUUUAUUGGUUUGCUGUAGUUGAUGUGGGCUUGUGUUUCUACUCUAUGCAGUUUAGUCGGCUCAGUUUCUUGUAGUUCCUCAUGGCUGAUUAUUUUUUAGCGGAGGAGCCUUGCUGUUGGCUGCGGGUAUGGGUCCAGUUGGGGCCUGUGCUGCAGCGUUGCACUUUGUGCUGCUGUCCGGCAUUGGGUUCUUGUUGUCAUUUUUUACGGUUUUUGCUGCCUUCUGCAGCGCUAUUUAUGUAGCUAUUUGUUAGGCUAUGUUUAAUGUAAUGAUAUUUGCUUAAGGGAGCCUAUUUCCCUGGCCUAUGUAUGUACAUGCGUAUAUAUUCUGACAUGCUGGUUUCUAGCUUAGUUUUGUUUU